CAUUUUUCACGAAUAAUCACCAAACAAAGGAAAACAUGAAAUUUUCACUUCAUGAAAGGGCAGCUGCCAAAAUUUAAGCUGUGCUCGUACAGAUAUUGAAAGAGAAAUUACAUGGCAAAGCUCCUUUACUGUAGGAAAGAAAGACCAAACAUUAUGAUUACUUUUUGGAUGAACGGAAACCACCAAAUCCCAUCAUGGCAGCAACAUCAGGAUCAACAUCGGCUUCCUCCUCUUCUGCUGCCUUCUCUUUCUUUUUCUCUUUCUUUCUUUCUCGGCGUUGACGCUUCCUUUCCUCCUCUUCUUGCUGCUGUUUUAGGAUCCUUUCAUCAAGAUCUUGCUCUGUGAAGCUGCCAGGACUUUUCCGUUUCUUGAGACUUUCAAAUCGCUGUUGAACCUGCUCAAGAGAUGCCCGCUCCACCCGCAUAGACAUGCCCAAAGCUCUUUGAUGUUUCUUUCCAUUGAUGUGAUCCAAGUAGUUUGCAGAAUCCUUCACCACACAUUCACAUACUGAACAAUAGUAUCCAGCCUGCUGGCUUAGAGGUGCUAUAGGAGUGACAACCUGAGUUUUCCCCAAUCGAGACUCAAGGUCUACUUCAUAAUCCCUAUGCUUCAAGGGUUUUCUUUGCACUGGUGGAGCUUUAGAUUUGGAUUUGAAACGCGACUCAGUCUCCUGCUUUUCACGCUCACGAGCUCGUUCUAAAUACUCUUCUCGAUCGAAUUUUCUUCUAAAUGUGUUAUCAACACCAACAGCAUUGUUAUGAUCCAUUUAAUCCAAAACUCUUGACCUGAAAACAGAGACAGAACUCAGAGAUAUGUAUAUAUAUAUAUAUAUAUAUGUGUGUAUCAAA
Molecule: unclassified non-coding RNA, 848 nt
Filed under: Hevea brasiliensis (rubber tree)
Lineage: Eukaryota; Viridiplantae; Streptophyta; Magnoliopsida; Malpighiales; Euphorbiaceae
Source: RNAcentral